Long non-coding RNA from Papaver somniferum (opium poppy), 1661 nucleotides. RefSeq lists it as uncharacterized. Lineage: Eukaryota; Viridiplantae; Streptophyta; Magnoliopsida; Ranunculales; Papaveraceae. The transcript has 8 exons. The record is from RefSeq and is a predicted model, not a curated record.
UCCCGUUAUCCUUAUCUUCCCAUCUCUCUAUUAUUACUCCUCUCCCGGAACCACCAGAAAGAAAAACUAUUUUCUUUCUCGUGAACCUUCUUCAUCUCUCCUAAAUCCUAAUCGAUCUUCUCAUGAACCUAUAGAUCGGAUGAUCUCUAUCAGAGAUUGAUUAUUGAUAAAUCAAACAACCCUCUUCUAUUUAUAUAUCUGCUCUAUCUGUCUCUUUAAAAAAAGUUGGUGUUCCUGCUGCUACAGUCUACAUCUUCUUCUUCUUGAAAAAAAUUCCUUCACAAGAGACCCAGAUCCCCUUUCCUUCACAAUCAGAAAACCCUAUUUCGGAUUUUUAUUAUCGCGGUCGGAAAUCCCUAACUUUCUCUCUCGAAAAUCAAAAGAUUUGGGUUUGAUGUUGAAGUUGUCUCUGAAAAGGGCAUCAUAUCCAGCUCAUAUAAGAAAGAAAGCCCUCUCAGUUCUGAUGCCAUCUUCAGACAGGAUUGUGAGAGAGAUAUUGCAAAGGCCGGAGAUGAUGCUCCAUAUGAGGUUGAGUAUGAAAACAUCAAACAGUUUUCCUGGGCUCUUGUUCACACAAGAUGACCAAAUGAUGCCCAACGAGGAAUAGCUAUGGUCGAAGGGACUGAGCCAACUUGUGAAAGGUAGACUUGACCAACUUCAUAUCAGGGAUAUGCUUUAUAUUCGCUCACUUGAACACUACAUAAGUCGUGACUUUAUAAAGAGCUUGAACAGCGUGGGUCUUUGUUUGGAGGAUGCACCAGACUUCUGGCAAGUUUGGUACCUGAUGCGAACAAUAUUAAAUUGGACGGAAACAGACGAGUUACUUGGGGCAUUUUUUAUGUGCUACUACUGUAGUUGUGCCAGUUAUUAUGAAAGCAAGAUCGGUUCGCAAGGCAUGAUAUGGCUCAAAACCAUUCAGUGGCAUCUAAGAAAUGAUACAGUUCAAGAUCACUUUAUUUUAUUUAUUUUUCCUGCAUGACAAACUCCCCACUCUAAUCCCCUAGCUCAUCAAUUAAACAUUUGCGAUUAUUUUUCUUUGCCAACUUUGAUCGAAAUUGUUUAAAAGUUUCUGUGAACUACGCAAUAUUAUUGGAAGUAUAUAUCUGUAAAUUGGAUUGUGAUAACUUAUAUAAUGCAGUGUUAACUAUUCUGGAUGGAAUUUUAAGUUCAUGGAGUUGUUUGUAUAGGACUAGGUACCAUUAAAGAUUUCUUUCCAUUUAUUCAAAUGCAUGUUCAUAUUAGAGGAUGUUAAGAGAGUUAAGUGCAAGUCACCUACCUGUAAAAUGCAAUAAUCAUGUUCUUACUUGAUAAUGUGGUCUUGCUAAUCGGUCUUACUAAUCAAUCACUAUUUUUUUAGAUUGUUAUUUGGCAUUCAUGUACCGAAAGGAAAUAGCAUUCCAAUGGUAUGCAAGUACUUCUGAGAGCACAAGUGUGGUAUACCAAGUUGGCCAGACUUCAGUAACUUGCCAACUCCUUGGUACACCCGCAUUAUGAAGUAGGAAUAAGUUCUUCAUCAUCAUCAUCGGAGUUUACAUUUUGCUGUGUACUAGUUUUUCAGUUCAUCGUUUUGUAACCGAAUCCUAGAACUUAGUUAAUUUUCUUGUAAGACUACACUGGUCAGAACUCUAGAUUUUAAUCCUUUGUGUAAUUUGAAACCAAUG